UCUCUGAUAGUAUAUCGGUUAGUACACGCGCCUGUCAUGUCAUUCGAUAAUGAUAGCCGCGCGAAAGCUGGGUUCGACUCCCAGUCAGAGAG
Mucidula mucida is the source of this 92-nucleotide non-coding RNA. The record is from the annotation of a GenBank genome assembly. Lineage: Eukaryota; Fungi; Basidiomycota; Agaricomycetes; Agaricales; Physalacriaceae.